GAAAAAGAAAAAGAAAAAGAAAAAGAAAAAGAAAAAGAAAAAGAAAAAGAAAAAGAAAAAGAAAAAGAAAAAGAAAAAGAAAAAGAAAAAGAAAAAGAAAAAGAAAAAGAAAAAGAAAAAGAAACCUUCUAGGAAUAAAAGUACAAAAUGCCCACCAAGACGACAGCAAAACAAACCACUGGCGUGGAGCUCAUCUGACCUAAUGGGACGCCACUGAGGCUGGACAGCUCCUUCUUGCCUCCCAGCACAGGAGGACACAGCAACAUGGAGCAGAAACUACCAAAUACACCAACUUGCUUUUAGCAGACUCUUAACCCCACUUACUCCCACUGACUUCAAUUACUUUGGUUUUAAUUUACACUGGAAAUGGACUGCGAGGGAUCAUGCACUACUUCAUGCAGCAGGGACCUCCACUUUUACUUGUGUCAAGCCCUAUUCCACAAAGCCUCUGCUGGCAGCACGUAUGGAUUGCUUUCCUAUUCUGUUAGGAGGUCACACUGCCUCAGCACUUGAUUGCCCUUUUUUACCAAGUAAUAUUUUCAGAGAGGGACUCAUAAGUCACUCUUUUUGCAAUCUUCUCUAGUGUCACUGGCUAGUCUUACACCAGGAUCUUUUUAAUUAACUGCUCACUAGUAAUUAUUCAGCCACAUUUAAAGUGUGAAUUAGAUGUACCAGGCCUCUGUGUACUUCCUGCACACUCUCCCUCUCCCACUCGCAGUUGUUCUUCUCCUGUACCUAUACCCAGGUACAUAAGAUCACAGAAGAUUUUGCCCAGGCUCCCUCCUUGGAGAUGCUCAGAAGCCACCCGGGCAACUGGCUCAGCAGAUAGGCAAGGUGAUGUCCAAGGGCCCCUUCCAACCUCAACUGUUCUGUGAUUUCAAAUUCUUGGAUGAAAGCUAGCACUGAGACACAUUUUGUUAUUAUAAAUGAUAACACUUCAUUGGAGAUGCUGAAUACAUUUAGUUUUAAAAGGCAUCUCUACCUCAAUAAUCCUUAAAAAAAUAAAGGAUGCUUCAUAGCAAGAACAACUAUCAGCCUGAAUUCAAAAGUGAACUGAUUCAUUAAAAUCUGGAUGGCAUGCAAUAAAACACCUAUAGAAGCCAUAUUACUGAUGUGCUGUAAAUGCUAUUCAGUUUCUGCAAGAAUAAUGUACACUUACUAGACAGACAUCAAGGCAAUUGCCCAUGAUACAAUGUUAAAAAAAAUAGAUUGUAUGGUUUGCAGUAGCAUCAAGUCUCUAUUCAAGUGUAAAAAAAUUAAUUGACUCCAUCUGUAUUGGCCUAAUGACUGAUUAAAUGACUAAUCACGGAAGUCUUAAUUAAAAUCAUUUUUCUGUACAGCAGAAGAUGGAGGGAGGAAGGCAUUCAUUAAUGUGUUAUAAUGUAUGUCAGAUUCCAUUUGUGCCAUUUACUAACAGCCAUCAAAUGAGUAAUUAUGCACAAGGUCAUUCUGUAAACUUUCUGCAUACAUCAGGCUGAUUGGAUUAGGGCUUGGUGCUUGGCUAGGUUCUGCAUGUGGCUGCAUUUUUCCAUCACAAAAUAGGUAAUUAAUAUUGCUUAGAAUAAGUAAUGAAAGAAGUUGACAUUUCCUCUUCCAUCUUCCCACCAGCCAAUCCAGUGUAAGAUUAAUACACAACUUUCAUGUAUUGUUGGGUAAAGUCCCAUACCUCAUGCACUAAAUCAAGCCCAUCCUCCUCAGCGGACUGUUUAAUAUCCUUCAUGAAUUGUCAGGGAACUCCAUCACACGAUGAAAUUCUUUAAUAUGCAAGGAAUUUUUCCUGCAUGAAUCAAAUGACCAGGCAAUUAGAAGAAAAGAAUCCUCUAAGUAAAUGAAGAUAUUACCAUAAAAUUAAAAGAUUUAAAAUUUUAUUUGCCACCCACUUGACGACCCUGAUGCCUGGUAACCCUUGCUAUCAAAAAAAAUACCAAGCUUGUUCUACCUCAAUAGCUGAGAUCAAUCUAUUUAAAAAAAAAAUAUUUAAAAAAACGAAAUAGAAGUAUAUCUCAAGCAUUAGCUAGAACAACUUUCCACUUGCGUGCAACUUAUAUGUAGGAUCUAUGCUUUUUAAUGAAAUGGCAUAUCAUAUGUGUCCAUGGUAUAAGUUGUAACACGAAUACUUGGCUGACUGCUACCCUGAAUUUUCUAGGAAGUCUUCUGUAAAGCCGCAGUAAGUCUGCCAUAUCAGUAGUUAAAUAACUACUACAGCUACAUACAAAUUGCAAGCAAAUACAAAUUUAAUUUAGUUUGAAUUAAUUAAAACUAGUCAAACUUGACCCCACUUACCACAAAACUGUAGAAAACAAAAAUACAUGACAACAAAUUUCUGCAUGCUGAAACUGCCAGUGUCACAUAUGAAAGAAGUUAAUUUUACUAAUAAACAAAGGGAAUGGAACCAAGUAACAGACUUAGAACUAAAUUCAGAGUUUUAAGGUGGCUCUCAAGGCUUAAAACCAGCACUGGGACUCAAAAGUGUGCCAUGCUCCAUGCUUCAAGAGAAUCAAUGAAUCUUAGGUUCAUCUUCAUUUGAAGAUGGACACAUCUAAAACAACAAAACGAACCACCACCAAACUGGAGAGCUCCAAACACAACAACAUACAUAUGGCAGAGUAAAUCUGUCAAAACCUGAAGAUAUUUUUAUGGAGUAAUUCAACACAAUCUGCACUACUCUGCUAAUGCAAAUGAAAACUUUUGCACAACUACCUAAAUUACAGGGUGGUGUGCCAUUCUUAAUCUUCACAGAAAUGUAGGAGUUCCUGUUUCAAUCAUUUCUAUUGUUUGAAAUAUACUAGAUGAUAACGGAGGGGCUGCCACUGUAUGCAGAGACUGACUUCUAUAUGAAGCUAAUUAAUGACAAUUUACGACUUACUGUAGGCUUGAAGGAAUUACUAGAUAAUGGUGAAGAUCAAAGUGCAAGACAGCUGCAAGUACAUUAAAUGACCUGUCUGAAAUUUCAGCAUUGUCUUUUUUCUGCAUGCGUUGAUUAUGUAGCUUAUUCGUUAUCUUUGGUUGUAUAAAUAUUUAAAACAAAGCCAAGCAUUUCAAAUACCUUAAGUGGACCCCCUUAUCAGCACACACAUACACGUAGCAGUACAGUAUAAAAUGACAACUACACUUGACUGAAGGACAGCCUUCUCUCUCUCAGCUUUUCACAGAGAAGUUUUAUUUCUUCAAGUAUUUAAGAAAAAAAAGUAUCUUAUGGCCACAGACAGGCAAUGGGUAUUACAGGGAAUGGAAAUUUCUAUCUCCAAAGGACACUUAACGGGGUGAAAAAAAAUAGUUUCAUAUUAAUAAGUCAGAAUGCAGCUCCGAAAAAAAGAUAAAAGGAAAAAAAUAAAAAAACAGCAGUCUGUGCUCAAUUCCCUGGCCACAUUGCAAAAAAGGAGGGAGACAGUUGCUGCUUACCUUGAGUGUUUUUGAAAGUGCUGUAAACAGGUAUCUAUGUUUUCUGUUAUUAGCCAGUGCACUUUGUCAUGUCCAUUUUGACAUCAACUCAACUCUCAUAUCUGUUCAAGUUUAAAAAAACAAAACACCUUGUCUGCUGCAGAGAUGCUAUUGCAAAUCACGUUGGGACCAACCCUGAUUAGAUGCUGAAAUCACUACAUCUGUUCAUGUGACUAACAGCAAUUCCAUUAUCAUUAUUUUAUCCUUUGCUAUUAGAUGAACUAGUGAAAAUGCUGGAGAAUUGCUCAUCAUGGCAGAUUUGAUCAUCACUAUUUCAAAAAGCCUGCAACCUUUUGUAUAGUAAAUAAAUGAAAGCAAACACUGCAAAAGUUAUCAAUAAGCAGGCUACAGUAAAUGUCUCUUCCACCAAAACCCAAAUAACAGGAAAGGUAAAUAAUAUCUCCCUCUUGCUGUUUACAACUGUCAUCCAUUUCAGAGGACAUCUCCACACUCAUUUUGUUGGUUAAGAAAUGCAAAUUAGAUAUCCCCUAUUCUUCUGUUUGUUUUGUACACUGAGCAUAAUUUCUGCAUGAAUGUCCAACUGUUUCCAUCUUCUUUGUGUCACAGAAACCUCAUUUACCAGUCAUUCUUCUCCAUAUGAAAAGAUCUAUAAUGAGGAGUCUUUCUGUCAUUGCCCUACUCCUCUGAGUCAGGAAUUUUUAUUUCCCCCCUAAUACUUGCUGCUGUAGCUGCAAUUUCAUUUAUUGUUGUCUCAUACCACAGCCUUAAUGCAAGAACAUCUGUGGCUGGAUCAUGGAAAAGAUUCAGUAUUGCUUUCAGAGUUGCGUAUCGAUUCAGUGGUUAUGAGAAACCAGACUUUUGAUGUAUGUUUUCAAAUUAUUCUUGUAAGACGGAUGGUUUAUUCACUGCACUUGAAAUGACAGUUUAUUUUUAGGUAUUCAAAUAUUUUUCCAGUUAGCCGCCUAACAGAAGUAUCCUUAUGAGAACACUGAACAUAAAAAGUAAGACUGGGUCUAUCUGCAUAUGCUUUCUUCCUAGAAAAUAAUUGAAAAGGCAUACAAUCGUCCAAAAACUAAAAAUAUAUUUUAAUUCACAUCUAAGCAGCAUCAUGAAAUAAAUUGCUUUUUGUUUUGAAGAAAUGACACAGUUCAGAAAAAAUAUUUCUACUGCUUUCUUCCUUUUAGCACAUGUAUGAAGCAAUUUACAUAUGCACAUGCAUUUAUGUUUAGCUUCAGUGCAACUCCAGAAAUCAAGCAUAUCAGGAUAGGUCAUCUUAACCUCAGAAAGCAGAUGUCAUGUUUGCUUUGUUAAAAGCUCUAGAAUUUGUAAAUCAGUAUCCUGACAUUCAUAAGUUCUCCUGGUCUUUCUGGCUUUUCAACACCGCCUUCACGUUUCAGGACCUCCUGCUAUGACUUUAGUUGCCUGUCUUUCCAGUUAGGUAUCUUUAAGCAGUGUAAUGACAGCAACAGAAAGAAAAGCAGACUGCAAAACCAAGCUGAAAAACUAAGUAGUAGAUCUGAGCAACUAUUUUAGAGGUACAGUAAAACUUCCCACAACUACUUUAUUUGGAAGCAGGAAGAAAAAAAAAAAAAAAAAAAAAAAAAA
Non-coding RNA from Anas platyrhynchos (mallard), 5007 nucleotides. Lineage: Eukaryota; Metazoa; Chordata; Aves; Anseriformes; Anatidae. The record is from RefSeq and is a predicted model, not a curated record.